GAUGAACGCUGGCGGCGUGCCUAAUACAUGCAAGUCGAGCGAACGGACGAGAAGCUUGCUUCUCUGAUGUUAGCGGCGGACGGGUGAGUAACACGUGGAUAACCUACCUAUAAGACUGGGAUAACUUCGGGAAACCGGAGCUAAAACCGGAUAAUAUUUUGAACCGCAUGGUUCAAAAGUGAAAGACGGUCUUGCUGUCACUUAUAGAUGGAUCCGCGCUGCAUUAGCUAGUUGGUAAGGUAACGGCUUACCAAGGCAACGAUGAAUAGCCGACCUGAGAGAGUGAUCGGCCACACUGGAACUGAGACACGGUCCAGACUCCUACGGGAGGCAGCAGUAGGGAAUCUUCCGCAAAGGGCGAAAGCCUGACGGAGCAACGCCGCGUGAGUGAUGAAGGUCUUCGGAUCGUAAGACUCUGUUAUUAGGGAAGAACAUAUGUGUAAGUAACUGUGCACAUCUUGACGGUACCUAAUCAGAAAGCCACGGCUAACUACGUG
RNAcentral lists this ribosomal RNA (497 nucleotides) under uncultured bacterium. RNAcentral's name for it is "partial 16S ribosomal RNA". It matches the Rfam family "Bacterial small subunit ribosomal RNA", at positions 28 to 507 of the family's 1533-position model. The record is from RNAcentral.